GUCCGACAAUCCCGCAUUUGGGGGUUACAUUCGAGGUACUUGUUGCUUGUUUUAGGUACUCCCGGGAAGGUCUGAGAAAGCUUUGCUCUUGUUGUGGAGCAAUACGUUCUAGCCGGGCGGCCUUUUCAUGAAGGUGCAGGGGAAUAGAAAGAAUAUCGACUGGGAUGUCACUAGGCCCAUGAUAUCCGGGACAACGGAUUAGGCGUAGACGUUGACGUACGAUUGGAAUUGCUUCUGUGGCUUGCUUUUCGAGUAUAAUGUGCGGGUUGCUUUUGUUUGACUGCAAAACUCAAUUCAGACUAAUCUGUCGAGGGC
RNAcentral lists this RNase P RNA (315 nucleotides) under Daphnia magna. RNAcentral describes it as "Nuclear RNase P". It matches the Rfam family "Nuclear RNase P". From Rfam's summary of the family: Ribonuclease P (RNase P) is a ubiquitous endoribonuclease, found in archaea, bacteria and eukarya as well as chloroplasts and mitochondria. The record is from Rfam by way of RNAcentral. Lineage: Eukaryota; Metazoa; Arthropoda; Branchiopoda; Diplostraca; Daphniidae.